AGUACCUGCCCGUCUAUGCCCACAACCGAACAUCAAUCUGAGAGUGCGCACCUCCCACCUUCACCUUAUCCGCCGCCACGACGCUGCCCAUCUAUGCCGCCGCCGGGCCAGCUCAGCCUGCACCUCUGCGCCGCCUAGUCCCCCCCGCCAAUCUCCACCGCGGCGGGCUGCCAUUCCUCCGAUUAUGGCGCCGCCGUGCUAGCACCUCCUGCAUCCGGCAAGGAGAAGGGAUCAGGGGCGCCACCGUCGGCAAUGUUGUACAUGCGUGGGGUUCAGUAAUUUCAGCAACGUCGCCGGUAGCUUCUCGUCUAACACAUAGCCGAUUAAGUGGGCGAUGGAUCGAGGUUGGAUGAGUCAACCAAGAACUAGUGUUGCUUACAAAGAUGGUGUCGGGCAAUUUCUGUCUUUUGCAUUCCAUGAUGUUCCAGCUGGUGAUAGAAUUAUCUGUCCUUGUGUAAAUUGCUGAAAUAAAGCUAGAGGAUGAGUUUGGGUUCAUUCUUGUGAACAAGUCUCGGGAAAUACACACAGGAGAUCAGUUAGAGGAUGAUCCUUUUGUAUUUUCUUCCCAAGUGCAGCAGGUUUUCUAUGUUCAAGAUCCAAAAGCUGAAUUAUGGAAUGUAGUAGUGGAAGUCAGGCCUCGUGACCUUUUUGACAUGGGUGAUGAAGAAUCAUCAGAUGAAACAGAUUAGAGCAUUGUGCUUUUGGGGUGUGUUUGGUUCAGGAAUGAAGUGUAAUGGAAUGUCAUGGUUCCGUUCUACUAGAAUGGGUCGGUUCCAUCUCUGUGUUUGGUAGAAGCAAUUCAAAGGAAUGGAAUUGUUAUAUUUUGA
Long non-coding RNA from Triticum aestivum (bread wheat), 827 nucleotides. RefSeq lists it as uncharacterized. The transcript is spliced from 3 exons. NCBI's taxonomy places the organism in Eukaryota, Viridiplantae, Streptophyta, Magnoliopsida, Poales, Poaceae. The record is from RefSeq and is a predicted model, not a curated record.